Molecule: ribosomal RNA, 496 nt
Filed under: uncultured bacterium
Lineage: Bacteria
Description: partial 16S ribosomal RNA
Rfam family: Bacterial small subunit ribosomal RNA
Source: RNAcentral
AUGAACGCUGGCGGCGUGCCUAAUACAUGCAAGUCGCGCGAACAGACGAGGAGCUUGCUCCUCUGAUGUUAGCGGCGGACGGGUGAGUAACACGUGGAUAACCUACCUAUAAGACUGGGAUAACUUCGGGAAACCGGAGCUAAUACCGGAUAACAUGUUGAACCGCAUGGUUCAACAGUGAAAGACGGUCUUGCUGUCACUUAUAGAUGGAUCCGCGCCGCAUUAGCUAGUUGGUAAGGUAACGGCUUACCAAGGCAACGAUGCGUAGCCGACCUGAGAGGGUGAUCGGCCACACUGGAACUGAGACACGGUCCAGACUCCUACGGGAGGCAGCAGUAGGGAAUCUUCCGCAAUGGGCGAAAGCCUGACGGAGCAACGCCGCGUGAGUGAAGAAGGUCUUCGGAUCGUAAAACUCUGUUAUUAGGGAAGAACAAAUGUGUAAGUAACUAUGCACGUCUUGACGGUACCUAAUCAGAAAGCCACGGCUAACUACGUG